Paramuricea clavata is the source of this 391-nucleotide non-coding RNA. NCBI's taxonomy places the organism in Eukaryota, Metazoa, Cnidaria, Anthozoa, Malacalcyonacea, Plexauridae. The record is from the annotation of a GenBank genome assembly.
CUGGUUCUUCAUUGAAUGUUACAAGAGCGCUUCCAUUUUGGCCAAACUGUAUAUCACAGACCUCCAUUUUUGCUCUUACUUCGAUGUAAUUCCACAAACUGUCUUUGCUUGUCUUUGGGUCUAUAUUUUCUACAUAUAGUUUCUUCCUGUUCGGAGGAAGAAAUAAUUCUGGUCGCUUUUCUUUAAAUUGCAAAAGAUAUCCUUCAAGUUCCAGUUUAACAUUCCUUAAAACUCGUGCCGCCACUAAAAAUAAUAAUAAAAAAACAAAAUAUACCAUCAGACCUACAGUAGGCUGUUGCGGCAUAUCAAUAUACCGAUAAUUAUCGGCUUUUUAUGAAUACCGAUUACUCGAUAUUGAAAUUUUCGAUAUAUCGGAAUAUCGAUAUUUUUC